This is a long non-coding RNA of Centropristis striata (black sea bass), 334 nucleotides long. RefSeq lists it as uncharacterized. The transcript has 3 exons. The record is from RefSeq and is a predicted model, not a curated record. Lineage: Eukaryota; Metazoa; Chordata; Actinopteri; Perciformes; Serranidae.
AACAGAUGUAGUCCACUGCAAACCCUUUUGCUGGAUUGGGAAUUACUGGACAAUUAACAACUAGUAGGAGGCAAUAAUUUACUGUAAAUAAAGAAUACCAACUGCUGUAAAACCCCAAAGAAGAAAAAGAAGAAGAAACUUUUUUGUUUGACCACUGAGAAAGCAGCGGGAGGUGCUCUUUCCUGCCUUUUACUUUCUGCCCUUCCUCGCCCAAAUUCGUGUGUGAGGUGUCUCUGGAUGUCCAGGUCCAGGAUGGGGGUCGGUCUGGAGGAGCCCAGAGGAGAGCGAUCUUGGCUCAAUAAGUCCUGGAACUCCUUACAGAUUUGCCUGAUGG